CACCAAUCGAGCCCCGCUCGGUAUUGGGCCUCGUCCCCACAGGACGGGCCUCGAAGACCCCGGCCGCGCGGUCCCGCUUCAGGCGUAGCAGAGCUUUCGUAGCCUCGCCUUGGAAGCGUGUCCGUGCCGCGCCGAACGACGAACCCCUUUCUAUCAA
This 157-nucleotide unclassified non-coding RNA is filed under the name uncultured Dothiorella. RNAcentral describes it as "partial internal transcribed spacer 2". The record is from RNAcentral. Lineage: Eukaryota; Fungi; Ascomycota; Dothideomycetes; Botryosphaeriales; Botryosphaeriaceae.